Molecule: ribosomal RNA, 1456 nt
Filed under: Leuconostoc mesenteroides subsp. mesenteroides
Lineage: Bacteria; Bacillati; Bacillota; Bacilli; Lactobacillales; Lactobacillaceae
Description: bacterial SSU rRNA
Rfam family: Bacterial small subunit ribosomal RNA
Source: RNAcentral
GGCGGCGUGCCUAAUACAUGCAAGUCGAACGCACAGCGAAAGGUGCUUGCACCUUUCAAGUGAGUGGCGAACGGGUGAGUAACACGUGGACAACCUGCCUCAAGGCUGGGGAUAACAUUUGGAAACAGAUGCUAAUACCGAAUAAAACUUAGUGUCGCAUGACACAAAGUUAAAAGGCGCUUUGGCGUCACCUAGAGAUGGAUCCGCGGUGCAUUAGUUAGUUGGUGGGGUAAAGGCCUACCAAGACAAUGAUGCAUAGCCGAGUUGAGAGACUGAUCGGCCACAUUGGGACUGAGACACGGCCCAAACUCCUACGGGAGGCUGCAGUAGGGAAUCUUCCACAAUGGGCGAAAGCCUGAUGGAGCAACGCCGCGUGUGUGAUGAAGGCUUUCGGGUCGUAAAGCACUGUUGUAUGGGAAGAACAGCUAGAAUAGGGAAUGAUUUUAGUUUGACGGUACCAUACCAGAAAGGGACGGCUAAAUACGUGCCAGCAGCCGCGGUAAUACGUAUGUCCCGAGCGUUAUCCGGAUUUAUUGGGCGUAAAGCGAGCGCAGACGGUUGAUUAAGUCUGAUGUGAAAGCCCGGAGCUCAACUCCGGAAUGGCAUUGGAAACUGGUUAACUUGAGUGCAGUAGAGGUAAGUGGAACUCCAUGUGUAGCGGUGGAAUGCGUAGAUAUAUGGAAGAACACCAGUGGCGAAGGCGGCUUACUGGACUGUAACUGACGUUGAGGCUCGAAAGUGUGGGUAGCAAACAGGAUUAGAUACCCUGGUAGUCCACACCGUAAACGAUGAACACUAGGUGUUAGGAGGUUUCCGCCUCUUAGUGCCGAAGCUAACGCAUUAAGUGUUCCGCCUGGGGAGUACGACCGCAAGGUUGAAACUCAAAGGAAUUGACGGGGACCCGCACAAGCGGUGGAGCAUGUGGUUUAAUUCGAAGCAACGCGAAGAACCUUACCAGGUCUUGACAUCCUUUGAAGCUUUUAGAGAUAGAAGUGUUCUCUUCGGAGACAAAGUGACAGGUGGUGCAUGGUCGUCGUCAGCUCGUGUCGUGAGAUGUUGGGUUAAGUCCCGCAACGAGCGCAACCCUUAUUGUUAGUUGCCAGCAUUCAGAUGGGCACUCUAGCGAGACUGCCGGUGACAAACCGGAGGAAGGCGGGGACGACGUCAGAUCAUCAUGCCCCUUAUGACCUGGGCUACACACGUGCUACAAUGGCGUAUACAACGAGUUGCCAACCCGCGAGGGUGAGCUAAUCUCUUAAAGUACGUCUCAGUUCGGAUUGUAGUCUGCAACUCGACUACAUGAAGUCGGAAUCGCUAGUAAUCGCGGAUCAGCACGCCGCGGUGAAUACGUUCCCGGGUCUUGUACACACCGCCCGUCACACCAUGGGAGUUUGUAAUGCCCAAAGCCGGUGGCCUAACCUUUUAGGAAGGAGCCGUCUAAGGCAGGACAGAUGAC